Cyprinus carpio carpio is the source of this 2454-nucleotide long non-coding RNA. The record is from Ensembl. NCBI's taxonomy places the organism in Eukaryota, Metazoa, Chordata, Actinopteri, Cypriniformes, Cyprinidae.
UAUAUAUUAUAUUAUAAUACAAAUUAUAUUUUAAUAUAACAAAUAUAUAUAUAUAUAUAUAUAUAUAUAUAUAUAUAUAUAUAUAUAUAUAUAUUUGUUAUAUUAAAAUCUAAUUUGUAUAUUUAGGAACAGAAGAUGGCUAGGUUGAGAUAUUUGUCCACUAGCAUUUUCCCUGUUAAAUAAGUGGUUUUAUACCUGGUUUAUUUGGUAUACAAACCUGACCAAGCUGGUUGACCCGGUGGUUUACCAACCUGAGCAGUUGACAAGUUCUCAUAACCUCUCUUCAGCCUAUGUGGAAAACAGCCACUUUAAACCAGUUUACGCAGUUGCUUUCAGUAUUGCAUGUGUUUUUGUUUGUGUUGCAUUAGCCCGAGUUACAUUAAUAACUGAAAUAUGUACAGAGCUUUUAAAAACUGAAUGUCAGUGUCUAUUGAUACUGUGUAUCUGGAGACAACAUAUCGAGGCAGUUUGCAUGUAGAAUGACAGAUAGUCCAACUAUUAGUAGUCAGAUACUGUAAAUUGUAUGAAAAGAAUAUAAAUUGUGAGAAUAUAAGCUUGUUAUCGGUACUGUGUAUCACUUAUGUCACAAGAUUGUUCUCAUUACAAAUUCAGGAGAAAUAUAAAACCGCUUCAGGCCAGAAACAAACAUACACAAAGACGUGCAGAUGUGAAUGUUUGGUGUUAUUGAGAUACUUAGCUAAAAACGUCAACAGUUUACUUCACUUUCUCAACAGUAUUGCCUCAACAUGAAAUAGAAAAAUGACCGCAGAGAACAUUGUGGUGUGUCUUGCACCAUAGACACUGCUUUUUAAAGACUGCGUAUAUGUCUGUUUGCACGUGUCAGGAUGAUAUCUUUGACUGUUGUGAUAUCUUGCUGUUUUUUAGCAUUUUAUGCAAUUUUGUGCAUUUUGAACUCUAGCUAUAAAAAAAGUUAAAAAAAUCUCUUUAGAGCCCUUAUAGAGAGGGGUUUGAGUGAAAGUAGCCAAAAACAGGCUAAAGAUGCACUCAAUAUAGAUAAAAUAUGAAGGCCUGAAUUUAAGAUUUAUGUAUUUGAAUUAAUUUGUUUAUUUCAUACAUUUGAACUAAUUGAAAAAAAAAGUGACUAUUGCUUGUUCCGCAGCUGUAGCUGUAUUUUAAACGUUCAUACUUUUGCCUCAUUAAAUGUAUUUAUUUUCAAAAUAAACAUAAUUCUAAACAAUUGGAACAAAUUCAUUUAGAAAAAUAAUUAUUUGAAUAAAAUGAAAUUUGUGCAAAUAAUUAAUAAUCAAUAAUUUUUUUUUUCUUAUUUGAAAUAAAUGUUAACUUGAGUAAAUAAUUAACAACAAAAAAAAUAGAAAUUGUAAGUUUAAAAAAAAAAAAUUCAGCUAGUUACCAAGGCAACUUAAAAAAAAAAACAUAACAAUAAAAACUAUAAUAAGUAUUUAAAUUAUACUAAUGUACCACUGAGAAUAGUUUAUAAUGAAUUAUGCCAUCUUUUUUUUUUUAUACUUGACAAAUAUGCAUCACAUUAAGUUAAUUAGUUUGUUUAUGUUAAUACUGCGCAAUUCAAAAGUAUGGAAGUUUCAUAUGCAAUUAAGAUGCAUAAAUAUUAAAUUUAGGCCUAUUUUUUGAGUGCAGUUAGAUGAUGCAUGACAAUACAGUAUGUGAUGCGUAUGGAAUAGAUAGAUAGAUAGAUAGAUAGAUAGAUAGAUAGAUAGAUAGAUAGAUAGAUAGAUAGAUAGAUAGAUAGAUAGAUGUUGCUGUCCUGCGUUCCAUCAGAGGGAUUUGCAAGAAACAGAUGGUUUUAUGUCAAUCGUUUGCACGUGUUUGGAUAAGAAUUCACUAAUUACUAAUGUGCAUAAUUAGGACUAAUUAAGUUGUCAGAACAGCACACAGGCAUUAAGAAGACAUAAGAGGGCCAGUUCCUCGGAAAGCAGCGGGUGAUGGAGCCACCAUGGCGCAUUUCAACAAGUGCUUUAUUCCGACACAGGCAACACAUGCUGUUUCUGCACAGAUUGUGACGUCACUUUCGGCUGCUUUCUGAAGGACUUUGUGGCCUUUCCAGCCAAAAUCGGCCCUAUCCGAGCGUCCUCAGACCUCCACCUCAGUAUCUCUGUAAUAUAGCUGUUUGUUUGUGUGUGUGAGUGUGUGUAUGUCUGUACAUUCUCCGGCCUUCUCACGGCAGGCAUGAUGGGUCGUGAUUCUGUUUCAGACAAAUGGAUUUGAUUCCCCUUAUUACUGUCUUUGAGAAAUCAAUGACGCAACUGAAGAACAGCGGAAAAUAACAGAACGUUGUCUUCCACAAGGACGCAUUCUGUGCUGUGAUGUAAUGUUUCUUUGAACGUCAUUUGUUUUACAGUUCUCCCUGUCCUUUGUUUUUAGGUGUGUGUAAAUUUUUUAAUCCACGAAAAGGAGAAAAAUGUCAAGAAUUUAAAUGGAAGGAGAAAAAUAAAGCGAAUUUUGUUUUUAACAUAA